CUUAAGCAUAUCAAUAAGCGGAGGAAAAGAAACCAACAGGGAUUACCUCAGUAACGGCGAGUGAAGCGGUAACAGCUCAAAUUUGAAAUCUGGGUCUUUCACGCUCCGAGUUGUAAUUUGUAGAAGAUGCUUCGGGUGCGGCUCCGGUCUAAGUCCCUUGGAACAGGGCGUCAUAGAGGGUGAGAAUCCCGUAUGUGAUCGGUGGCCUGCGCCCGUGUGAAGCUCUUUCGACGAGUCGAGUUGUUUGGGAAUGCAGCUCAAAAUGGGUGGUAUAUUUCAUCUAAAGCUAAAUAUUGGCCAGAGACCGAUAGCGCACAAGUAGAGUGAUCGAAAGAUGAAAAGCACUUUGGAAAGAGAGUUAAACAGUACGUGAAAUUGUUGAAAGGGAAGCGCUUGCAACCAGACUUGCGCGUUGUUGAUCAUCCGGGGUUCUCCCCGGUGCACUCGACCUCGCUCAGGCCAGCAUCGGUUUCGGUGGUUGGAUAAAGGCCUUGGGAAUGUAGCUUCUUUCGGGGAGUGUUAUAGCCCUCGGUGCAAUGCAGCCUACCGGGACCGAGGACCGCGCUUCGGCUAGGAUGCUGGCGUAAUGGUUGUAAGCGACCCGUCUUGAAACACGGACCAAGGAGUCUAACAUCUAUGCGAGUGUUUGGGUGUCAAACCCAUGCGCGUAAUGAAAGUGAACGGAGGUGAGAACCCUUUAGGGUGCAUCAUCGACCGAUCCUGAUGUCUUCGGAUGGAUUUGAGUAAGAGCAUAGCUGUUGGGACCCGAAAGAUGGUGAACUAUGCCUGAAUAGGGUGAAGCCAGAGGAAACUCUGGUGGAGGCUCGCAGCGGUUCUGACGUGCAAAUCGAUCGUCAAAUUUGGGUAUAGGGGCGAAAGACUAAUCGA
This 888-nucleotide ribosomal RNA is filed under the name Pezicula italica. Its description in RNAcentral is "Pezicula sp. WJL-2020a partial large subunit ribosomal RNA". It matches the Rfam family "Eukaryotic large subunit ribosomal RNA", at positions 33 to 938 of the family's 3401-position model. Lineage: Eukaryota; Fungi; Ascomycota; Leotiomycetes; Helotiales; Dermateaceae. The record is from RNAcentral.